GUGUUUCGAGCUCUGACCUUUGGGUAGACCUCCCACCCUGUGUCGUUAUACCUUUGUUGCUUUGGCGGGCCGCGGGGCUUAGGCCCUGCCCCUGGCUCCGGCUAGGGCGCGCCCGCCAGAGGACCUCAAAACCUGAAUGUUAGUGUCGUCUGAGUACUAUAUAAUAGUUAAAACUUUCAACAACGGAUCUCUUGGUUCUGGCAUCGAUGAAGAACGCAGCGAAAUGCGAUAAGUAAUGUGAAUUGCAGAAUUCAGUGAAUCAUCGAAUCUUUGAACGCACAUUGCGCCCCUUGGUAUUCCGGGGGGCAUGCCUGUUCGAGCGUCAUUACAACCCUCAAGCUCUGCUUGGUCUUGGGCGUCACCGGUCCCCGGUGUGCCUUAAAAUCAGUGGCGGCGCCAUCUGGCUCUAAGCGUAGUACAUACUCUCGCUACAGACGUCCGGUGGAUGCUGGCCAGCAACCCCCAAUUUAUCAAGGUUGACCUCGGAUCAGGUAGGGAUACCCGCUGAACUUAAGCAUAUCAAACCCGGGAGAGGGAAA
RNAcentral lists this ribosomal RNA (539 nucleotides) under Pezicula ericae. Its description in RNAcentral is "eukaryotic LSU rRNA". The stretch from base 172 to 325 matches the Rfam family "5.8S ribosomal RNA". The record is from RNAcentral. Lineage: Eukaryota; Fungi; Ascomycota; Leotiomycetes; Helotiales; Dermateaceae.